This 1373-nucleotide long non-coding RNA is filed under the name Apteryx haastii (Great spotted kiwi). RNAcentral's name for it is "lncRNA (ENSAHAG00000005812.1)". The record is from RNAcentral. Lineage: Eukaryota; Metazoa; Chordata; Aves; Apterygiformes; Apterygidae.
AUGUGUGCAUAUAUAUAUAUUUUUUUUUAGCAAUUCGACUUAGUUUUUAGUGUUUUCAUUGCUCAUAGAUGAGGAAUUGCUUGCUGUAUGGAUUCACUAGAAAUAAGCUAAACCACAGCUGUAUACUUAAGCACUUGUGCUGUACUGCUAUCAAUCGCCAUGAGUGCUGCUGUGCUUAACUGUAGCCAGACAGUCUGAUGCAAGGGGGGGUGAGCGCAAGAUGUGUUCCCUUGUGAACCCUAGAAGCUGACUUACAGAGCCUUGUAAGGGAUCUUGUAAAUGCUGACUCUGAGGUACCUGUUUAGCUUGGAAAUAAGGUACAAUAAAAAACAAAGCUAUCUUACCUUGUAUCUGUAAGCCAAUUUUGGAAGUGUGGAACAUCAGUAAUAUCUUUUUUUUUUAAUGAGAAAGCAAAAUCCUUAAAUUUACCUGGUAGGAAGAAGUGGAUUGAAGUAACUUGGUGAGCAAGGGUUUUGACCUAGAAGCACUGGUAAAAGUUUUAUAGAGCUGUUGGAGCCAUUGGGAUCACUUAUGUGCUUAACCGGCUGAUUGUGUUGUCUAUAUUUCCUGUUUUGAAGACAAUCAUCCUGCAGCCAUGGAGGUGUAAGACCUCUCCUGAUCUGGAAUUGGUUCCAGAAUGCAGAAGCUGCAGUUUGAAGGAAAGUCACUGACUGUCAGUGGACUUUUAACAAAAUCAGAAGAAUCAGUUUAAACAAAAUGAGUGAUGUCACCCUGGUCUCCAUGAGUUCAGAAUCCAUCUGAAAGUGUAUCCACUGGAGCUGGUGCGAGGAAUGCACCAAUUCCAGMAGCAGAAAGUUCCUACUUAGCUGGAGCAGUACAGAGAAAGAGAAGGGAAACCUUUCUGCAAAGAAAGCAGGCUGGAUUCUACUUAACAGAGAGAAUGCACGCUUUCCAGGAAUACUUGAAGAGUCCAGAAACAGGAARGAAUACGGUAAAAAGCUGUUCUGGAGGUGUUUGGUGAUGUACACUGGGGAGCUGCGGUGCUUCAUGAGCGCAAGGGCCUGCUUCUCCAGCCAGUCACCCUGUGCACAAGCCUCCUAACCAGCCCCCCCAAAGGAAACCUAAGAAGAAUAAUCCAACCUGCUUGCCUGGAUAACUCAUUCCAGAAGUGGCACCGAACUGACAAUAUCAACUUGGCCUCCUACUAAAUUUGGUUCUCUGCGUGCAAGCAGCCUUUYUCCAGCAGAUCUUAUGCCUUCAGACCACCCCCUGUGCCCUGGGACAGCCAAGGCACGAGAGCACACAGCACACGCCAUUUAGCCCCAGGCUCUUUGGGACGCUUUGUGCUGAAAACCCCCACAGCCGCUCGUUCGCCAGGGCCGCAGCAGGCAGGACGCUGCCGCGGGGGCACC